Molecule: long non-coding RNA, 573 nt
Organism: Bombina bombina (fire-bellied toad)
Lineage: Eukaryota; Metazoa; Chordata; Amphibia; Anura; Bombinatoridae
Exons: 2
Source: RefSeq, a predicted model, not a curated record
GUCUGAUACCUGCGGGCAGUGUGUAACUACUGGUGUGAACUGUGAAGGUAAUCAGCACCACUCCUUUUUCGCCUGAUCUGCACUGUCUCUCACCUGGCACAGAUACAAAGAACUUGACAGCAUCUCGAUGACCGUGAAAACAGAGCUGGGCUUGGGCCAUGGAGCAAUAUGGGAUGAAGCUGCCCGCCGUCUUGUCACUGGUCUCAUCGCUGUACACAUGGAUGACACCUCCAGGCCGUGUUCCCUCUCCAGACGUAGGAGAAGUCUUAUUGGCUGAGGACACAGAUGAGGGUUUAGCGGUGGAAUCAUAUGGAUAUUAUAAUUCAGUAGCAUUUUUAUAUAAUUGACUAAAUGGGUGUGAAUGUAGGAUUAGGAGGGUCACUCUAUAGCAGGAAUGGUCACCUUCAUAUAAAUAUAACUUAUAUGUCUUAAGCAAUAGCAUUUAUCCUAAGAGGGGUUACAAAGCAACGUGAGCAUAACUAAAUAGAUCAUAUUUAUUACUAUUGUCCACUGCAUAUUUUUUUAACAAGUCCCUUUAUUCUUAAAUAAACCUUUGUAAAUAUUGCCAACAAA